GUAUAGAUUUCUAUAGGCACAAAGGCCCUUUGAUUACAUUCUAUGACAUACUACAACGUCUGUGGAUAAGACAUAGACCUGAAAGGGGAGCUUGACUGCUCUUUCCCUCCAAGACUACAAGUGGUGCACAGUGGGAUAGAUAAAGACAGCAGGUGUGCACAUGCUUCAAGAAGCCAGCGACAACCCACCAUAGUUAUUCAAUAAUGAUCCUUCCGCAGGUUCACCUACGGAAA
RNAcentral lists this unclassified non-coding RNA (233 nucleotides) under uncultured fungus. RNAcentral's name for it is "sequence contains ITS1". The record is from RNAcentral. Lineage: Eukaryota; Fungi.